RNAcentral lists this ribosomal RNA (1490 nucleotides) under human gut metagenome. RNAcentral's name for it is "bacterial LSU rRNA". It matches the Rfam family "Bacterial large subunit ribosomal RNA", at positions 502 to 2012 of the family's 2925-position model. The record is from RNAcentral.
CGUGAGGGAAAGGUGAAAAGAACCCCGGGAGGGGAGUGAAAGAGAACCUGAAACCCUGCACUUACAAGCUGUAGGAGCACAUUUCUUGUGUGACUGCGUACUUUUUGUAGAACGGGCCAACGAGUUACGUUGUGUAGCAAGGUUAAGCACUUAAGGUGUGGAGCCGUAGCGAAAGCGAGUCUUAAAUGGGCGUCCAGUUACCCGACGUAGACCCGAAACCAGGCGACCUAUCCAUGAGCAGGUUGAAGCGAAAGUAAAAUUUCGUGGAGGACCGAACCCACGUACGUUGAAAAGUGCGGGGAUGACUUGUGGAUAGCGGAGAAAUUCCAAUCGAACCUGGAGAUAGCUGGUUCUCCCCGAAAUAGCUUUAGGGCUAGCCUCAAGCUUAGAGAAACGGAGGUAGAGCACUGAAUGUCCUAGGGGGUAUUGCACUUACCGAAGACUAUCAAACUCCGAAUGCCGUAUUCUUUUGCUUGGGAGUCAGACUAUGGGUGAUAAGAUUCAUAGUCAAGAGGGCAACAGCCCAGAUCGUCAGCUAAGGUCCCUAAAUGUAAGUUAAGUGGUAAAGGAUGUGGAAUUGCACAGACAACCAGGAUGUUGGCUUAGAAGCAGCCACUCAUUUAAAGAGUGCGUAAUAGCUCACUGGUCGAGUGAUUCUGCGCCGAAAAUUUCCGGGGCUAAAACUUACUACCGAAGCUACGGCAUCAUUAUGAUGGGUAGGGGAGCUUUCUAUGCGGCUUGAAGCAUGACCGUAAGGACAUGUGGACUGCAUAGAAGUGAGAAUGUUGGCAUGAGUAGCGAGAUGUGGGUGAGAAUCCCACAGGCCGUAAACCCAAGGUUUCCAGGGGAAGGUUCGUCCGCCCUGGGUUAGUCAGGACCUAAGCCGAGGCCGAAAGGCGUAGGUGAUGGACAACAGGUUGAUAUUCCUGUACCACCAAUAACCGUUUGAGAAAUGGGAUGACACAGUAGGAUAAGCUAACCGCACUGUUGGUUAUGUGCGGGCAAGUAUUGAGGCAGUUCCGAUAGGCAAAUCCGUCGGAAUAAUGCUGGGGUACGAUGCGGAGCGAAAUUUAGUAGCGAAGUAGCUGAUUUCACACUGUCGAGAAAAGUCUCUAUCGAGGUUAAAGGUGCCUGUACCGCAAACCGACACAGGUGGGUGAGGAGAGUAUCCUAAGGCCAGCGAGAGAACUGUUGUUAAGGAACUCGGCAAAAUGACCCCGUAACUUAGGGAGAAGGGGUGCCUUCGAAAGAAGGCCGCAGAGAAUAGGCCCAAGCGACUGUUUACCAAAAACAUAGGUUUCUGCUAAGUCGCAAGACGAUGUAUAGGAGCUGACGCCUGCCCGGUGCUGGAAGGUUAAGGGGAUCUGUUAGAGCAAUCGAAGCAGUGAACUUAAGCCCCAGUAAACGGCGGCCGUAACUAUAACGGUCCUAAGGCAGCGAAAUUCCUUGUCGGGUAAGUUCCGACCCGCACGAAAGGCGUAAUGAUUUGA